Molecule: ribosomal RNA, 103 nt
Filed under: Aegilops tauschii subsp. strangulata
Lineage: Eukaryota; Viridiplantae; Streptophyta; Magnoliopsida; Poales; Poaceae
Description: rRNA SSU_rRNA_eukarya
Rfam family: Eukaryotic small subunit ribosomal RNA
Source: Rfam by way of RNAcentral
ACUGAUGUAUUCAACGAGUAUAUAGCCUUGGCCGACAAGCCCGGGUAAUCUUGGGAAAUUUCAUCGUGAUGGGGAUAGAUCAUUGCAAUUGUUGGUCUUCAAU